RNAcentral lists this unclassified non-coding RNA (572 nucleotides) under uncultured Thelephora. RNAcentral's name for it is "sequence contains ITS1, 5.8S rRNA gene and ITS2". The stretch from base 158 to 312 matches the Rfam family "5.8S ribosomal RNA". Lineage: Eukaryota; Fungi; Basidiomycota; Agaricomycetes; Thelephorales; Thelephoraceae. The record is from RNAcentral.
AUGUGCACGCUCUGUUUACACAUCCACUCACACCUGUGCACCCUCUGUAGUUCUAUGGUCUGGGGGACCCUGUCUUCCUUCUGUGGUUCUACGUCUUUACACACACACUGUAAUAAAGUUUUAUGGAAUGUACAUCGCGUCUAACGCAAUACAAUACAACUUUCAGCAACGGAUCUCUUGGCUCUCGCAUCGAUGAAGAACGCAGCGAAAUGCGAUAAGUAAUGUGAAUUGCAGAAUUCAGUGAAUCAUCGAAUCUUUGAACGCACCUUGCGCCCCUUGGCUAUUCCGAGGGGCAUGCCUGUUUGAGUAUCAUGAACACCUCAACUCUCAUGGUUUGCCAUGAUGAGUUGGACUCUGGGGGUUUUGCUGGCCUGUGGUCGGCUCCUCUCAAAUUAAUCAGCCUCCCAGUGUUUGGUGGCAUCACGGGUGUGAUAAAUAUCUACGCUCGCUGUUGUCUGCCAGGUAACCUUUGGUCACAAAGGUUUGCUGGAGCUCACAGAUGUCUCUCCUCAGCGAGGACAGCUUUUUUAACGUUCGAUCUCAAAUCAGGUAGGACUACCCGCUGAACUUAA